AAGGGAGUGAUGGGCAGUCAGUGAACCAAACCGAAGGCACGGUGGCUGUCCUCGAAGGCCACCAGAUACUUCUCGGAUGUCGCUAUCCAGGGUCUUCAUCUUUGGACAUCUCUCCCUUCUGGUACGUCCAGCAUCCCGGCCAACCUCCCAAGCUCUUUCUGAAGGCUUUGGGCCGAGAUGGCUCGGAAGAAGGGGCACGCCAAGGCUUCGAUGCCAAACAUGAUAAAACCCUGAACACCUUCCACAUGAGGAAAGCCACCAGUCAGCUGAGCGACUCUGCCGUCUACUUCUGCGCCGCGAGUGACACA
Molecule: non-coding RNA, 308 nt
Organism: Gekko japonicus
Lineage: Eukaryota; Metazoa; Chordata; Lepidosauria; Squamata; Gekkonidae
Source: the annotation of a RefSeq genome assembly